Molecule: long non-coding RNA, 1180 nt
Filed under: Cyanistes caeruleus (blue tit)
Lineage: Eukaryota; Metazoa; Chordata; Aves; Passeriformes; Paridae
Description: lncRNA (ENSCCEG00000004807.1)
Source: RNAcentral
GUGUGGAGCACAAUGUUCAGCCAUCGUGGAGACUAUGAGAAACAAAUCCGUGUGUACAAACUGCCAAAACAUAAAAGGUUCUGCUCCUGGCCUGGGAGGAGGUCUGGCCAGCCCUCAUCAUGACACACUGCUGGGCAGGUUUUGGCAAAAGGAGAAUAUCCCUUCCUCCUGGAACCCUCUUAUGACUGGUAGGCAAUCCAGGCUGACCUGCUCUGGACUGCUUCAAGAGUUUAUUUCAUUUUCCUUAUCUAGAUCUCAUCCCAGGAGCUCCAGGGCAAACUCCCCCUCCACCAGCGCAGGGACAAUGUUGCCAGGCAAGAAGAGACAGCAGAGCAAACACUCCAGCCCACCCCAUUGUCAGCUGCUGUGCUGGAUUAAACAAGACCAGAAUUCACUCCUCUUAUUGCAGGUCCUUUGCCAAGUUAUUUCCAUGAUUUAAGGAGUACUGAUUAAAAAAAAAAAGAAAAAAAAAUAGAAAGAGUAACAGAGAGAUGAAAGGAGCAUCCACACUGUAUUCGAAAAGGUUUUCUGAAGAGGUGGGUUGAUUUUAAUUAACUUCCUGAAUGAAACAAUUCAGGUCUGGAGCUGGCAAUCUCCAAUAAUCACUUUUUGGCCUCUGGAUAAAAAAGGAGUCAAUUACACAAAACAAUGCAACAAAAAGGCAGUCAAUGGAAGGAAGUAGUUCUGUGUAUUACAGCAGUACACACAUUUAGAGAGGCCCAGGAUCCAGAGGCCCAACAUGAGAUUAAUCCCCACUGCAGUAGACACUAAAUACACAUUACAAGAAACAGCCCCCUUACUCCAAAGCUUAUCUUCUCUGCAAGACUAGUUCCUGUUUAUAUAUUUUGAGCAUUUCCCCUAAUUCAAAGUAUAUGCACAGAAAAAGCCUUAACUUUAUUGUGAGUUGCUGUCCCAGGAGUCCCACAAACUGCAGUUCCAGUCACCCAACAUCUGAAGUGACCAUUCUGUAACAGGAACAUCACUUGGCAUCACUCAGCUCUUCCUUCAUCCCUAAAUCUUACCCUCUGCACCAUCUUUUGUGUAUUCUAAAGAGGUAAUUUAGAUUUUCCUUUGGUGGAGCUAAUACAGAACUUGAGGACAUGUCCAAAAUAUUCCUGUUGCCAUUAAGCAAGACAGAUUAGAAUGAGAGAACAAAUAAACAAAAAAAAGGUCAGAUACA